RNAcentral lists this ribosomal RNA (292 nucleotides) under uncultured bacterium. RNAcentral describes it as "partial 16S ribosomal RNA". It matches the Rfam family "Bacterial small subunit ribosomal RNA", at positions 505 to 796 of the family's 1533-position model. The record is from RNAcentral.
GUGCCAGCAGCCGCGGUAAUACGGAGGAUCCGAGCGUUAUCCGGAUUUAUUGGGUUUAAAGGGAGCGUAGGUGGACAGUUAAGUCAGUUGUGAAAGUUUGCGGCUCAACCGUAAAAUUGCAGUUGAUACUGGCUGUCUUGAGUACAGUAGAGGUGGGCGGAAUUCGUGGUGUAGCGGUGAAAUGCUUAGAUAUCACGAAGAACUCCGAUUGCGAAGGCAGCUCACUGGACUGCAACUGACACUGAUGCUCGAAAGUGUGGGUAUCAAACAGGAUUAGAAACCCUAGUAGUCC